Non-coding RNA from Paramuricea clavata, 110 nucleotides. Lineage: Eukaryota; Metazoa; Cnidaria; Anthozoa; Malacalcyonacea; Plexauridae. The record is from the annotation of a GenBank genome assembly.
AGCAAAUGUAGCUCUAAAAUUGAAUAGACUUAUCUUUAUAUUAAUAGCAUUUCCCCAUUUUAUUCGAUUUGUAUAAAGAUAAGUCUAUUCAAUUUUAGAGCUACAUUUGC